AUGAGGCAAUGGACUCAGCCAACAGACUCUUGGAUAUAUCCGGAGGAGGCCCGAACAAAUUAUUUAUCCUGGCUCUUACUCUUGGGAUCACUGGCAUGGAUUUCGGUGCAGUGCCACCCUCUCAGCCUGGCAACCAAGGCCUCAGCCUGCAUUUCCAGCUCCUGCUGCUCCCUGCCGCGGCCGCGGCCAAUCCGAGCCUCCAGUUCGCUAAGGUCAGCUCAACAGCUUCCCCAGGCCAGUGUUCAAGCUCUCGUCCAGCACCAAGGGCCAGCAUCUCACCCUGAGGCUGCAAGUGCAAAGGCGCCCUUGCUCUUCCUUCGGUGGCGUCCUGCCCACAGCGACCCCUCGGCUGCCCGACAGCAAGCCCACUCCACCAACUCCCUCCUGAACCCUCGGACUCAGGAAAGCUACCACACACGCUGAGGACCCUCAAGGACAGACUGUUUCCCUCGUCCUUUUCACCGCUCAGCUCUGAGCCCCCCGCACCUCCUCAGUUCCCUUUGAUUGCCCGUGUGCAGAACCUAAUCGCACUCUACAAAAUUAAAUUCCUGCUUGUCUCCAUCACGGGGAUAAGCACGUGUUUUUGUCUGUGCACCCCCAGCCAUGAUGCUCGAUAAACAUUUGUUGAGUGAAUGAACUGUGGAGUCCAUCUAAUAGUCUUUUUGUUUACGGACGCGAAGCACA
RNAcentral lists this long non-coding RNA (684 nucleotides) under Vulpes vulpes (red fox). Its description in RNAcentral is "lncRNA (ENSVVUG00000006825.1)". Lineage: Eukaryota; Metazoa; Chordata; Mammalia; Carnivora; Canidae. The record is from RNAcentral.